RNAcentral lists this unclassified non-coding RNA (322 nucleotides) under Bombus terrestris (buff-tailed bumblebee). Its description in RNAcentral is "misc RNA ENSBTSG00005034304.1". Lineage: Eukaryota; Metazoa; Arthropoda; Insecta; Hymenoptera; Apidae. The record is from RNAcentral.
GGGAUGGAGAAUCAUUUCGUCCGUAAUUGCAAAACGAGAGUUGUAUAUAUUUAUCCGAAUUUCAGAAGUAAAUAAUAGCAACAAGGAAGCUAUAUGAUACUUUGAAUUUUUAUAUAUUUUUAUGUCAAGUUACAAAGAAGACUGGAAUUUUUUAACUCCUAGAUAGUUCUCUUGUUAGAUGUUGAGACAGUGAAUGCCAGACGAAAGAAUGUAGUUCGCAUGCAUAAAAUGAUUAGUCGAAGAAUCUGAGAAAUUAUUAUAUUGGUGUAACUGGUCAACGUAGCUAACAUACGUGUAACAACGCGCAACGCUGUAGAAUCUA